UGGACCAAUGAUGAGAGUAUAUGAGAGCCAAGGCAUAUAAUUCACCCAAUAUGGCACUGAGGUCCAAG
This 68-nucleotide small nucleolar RNA is filed under the name Vicugna pacos (alpaca). RNAcentral's name for it is "Small nucleolar RNA SNORD112 (ENSVPAG00000017760.1)". Lineage: Eukaryota; Metazoa; Chordata; Mammalia; Artiodactyla; Camelidae. The record is from RNAcentral.